GCUGGGCAUGGUAGCUCAUGCCUGUAAUCCCAGCAGCUUAGGAGGCUGAGGCAGGAUGAUCGCAAGUUCAAAGUCAGCUGCAGCAAUGGCAAAGCACUAAGCAAUUCAGUGAGACCCUGUACCUA
RNAcentral lists this small RNA (125 nucleotides) under Marmota monax (woodchuck). Lineage: Eukaryota; Metazoa; Chordata; Mammalia; Rodentia; Sciuridae. The record is from RNAcentral.